Molecule: ribosomal RNA, 253 nt
Filed under: uncultured bacterium
Lineage: Bacteria
Description: partial 16S ribosomal RNA
Rfam family: Bacterial small subunit ribosomal RNA
Source: RNAcentral
GACGUAGGGCGCGAGCGUUGUCCGGAAUUAUUGGGCGUAAAGCGCGCGCAGGCGGUCCUUUAAGUCUGAUGUGAAAGCCCACGGCUCAACCGUGGAGGGUCAUUGGAAACUGGGGGACUUGAGUACAGAAGAGGAAAGCGGAAUUCCACGUGUAGCAGUGAAAUGCGUAGAGAUGUGGAGGAACACCAGUGGCGAAGGCGGCUUUCUGGUCUGUAACUGACGCUGAGGCGCGAAAGCGUGGGGAGCAAACAGG